GAACGCUGGCGGCAUGCUUUACACAUGCAAGUCGAACGGUAACAGGCCGCAAGGUGCUGACGAGUGGCGAACGGGUGAGUAAUGCAUCGGAACGUGCCCAGUCGUGGGGGAUAACGCAGCGAAAGCUGCGCUAAUACCGCAUACGAUCUAUGGAUGAAAGCGGGGGAUCGCAAGACCUCGCGCGAUUGGAGCGGCCGAUAUCAGAUUAGGUAGUUGGUGGGGUAAAGGCUCACCAAGCCAACGAUCUGUAGCUGGUCUGAGAGGACGACCAGCCACACUGGAACUGAGACACGGUCCAGACUCCUACGGGAGGCAGCAGUGGGGAAUUUUGGACAAUGGACGCAAGUCUGAUCCAGCCAUUCCGCGUGCAGGAUGAAGGCCCUCGGGUUGUAAACUGCUUUUGUACGGAACGAAAAGGUCUCUCUUAAUACGGGGGGCUCAUGACGGUACCGUAAGAAUAAGCACCGGCUAACUACGUG
Molecule: ribosomal RNA, 479 nt
Filed under: uncultured bacterium
Lineage: Bacteria
Description: bacterial SSU rRNA
Rfam family: Bacterial small subunit ribosomal RNA
Source: RNAcentral